RNAcentral lists this ribosomal RNA (498 nucleotides) under uncultured bacterium. Its description in RNAcentral is "partial 16S ribosomal RNA". It matches the Rfam family "Bacterial small subunit ribosomal RNA", at positions 28 to 507 of the family's 1533-position model. The record is from RNAcentral.
GACGAACGCUGGCGGCGUGCCUAAUACAUGCAAGUCGAACGAGAGCGACCGGUGCUUGCACUGGUCAAUCUAGUGGCGAACGGGUGAGUAACACGUGGGUAACCUGCCCAUCAGAGGGGGAUAACAUUCGGAAACGGAUGCUAAAACCGCAUAGGUCUUCGAACCGCAUGGUUUGAAGAGGAAAAGAGGCGCAAGCUUCUGCUGAUGGAUGUACCCGCGGUGCAUUAGCUAGUUGGUGAGGUAACGGCUCACCAAGGCCGUGAUGCAUAGCCGACCUGAGAGGGUGAUCGGCCACAUUGGGACUGAGACACGGCCCAAACUCCUACGGGAAGCAGCAGUAGGGAAUCUUCCGCAAUGGACGCAAGUCUGACGGAGCAACGCCGCGUGAGUGAAGAAGGUUUUCGGAUCGUAAAACUCUGUUGUUAGAGAAGAAUAAGUGCUAGAGUAACUGUUAGCGCCUUGACGGUAUCUAACCAGAAAGCAACGGCUAACUACGUG